UUUUCUAAUUUUUCCUAUUUUUCUUUUUUUUCAUUUUUUUUAUAUUUUUUCUCUCUUCUAUCUCUCUUUCUUUUUUUCUUUUUUUUAUUUUCUUUUUUGUACUUAUUUUCUUUAUCAUUUUUUGUUCUAUUUUAUAUUUUUUGUAUUUUUAAAAAGUAUAACUACUCGAGCACAAGUCAUUGAUGAUAACGUAAAUACCAUAAUUAUUUAUCUAUUUGUAGUCACACCGUCAUUUAU
This 237-nucleotide long non-coding RNA is filed under the name Capsicum annuum. RNAcentral describes it as "long non-coding RNA (CANN_LNC000611)". Lineage: Eukaryota; Viridiplantae; Streptophyta; Magnoliopsida; Solanales; Solanaceae. The record is from RNAcentral.